CUACGGGAGGCAGCAGUGGGGAAUAUUGCACAAUGGGCGAAAGCCUGAUGCAGCAACGCCGCGUGAACGAUGAAGGUCUUCGGAUCGUAAAGUUCUGUUGCAGGGGAAGAUAAUGACGGUACCCUGUGAGGAAGCACCGGCUAACUACGUGCCAGCAGCCGCGGUAAUACGUAGGGUGCUAGCGUUAUCCGGAUUUACUGGGCGUAAAGGGUGCGUAGGUGGUCUUUCAAGUCGGUGGUUAAAGGCUACGGCUCAACCGUAUUAAGCCGCCGAAACUGGAAGACUUGAGUGCAGGAGAGGAAAGUGGAAUUCUCAGUGUAGCGGUGAAAUGCGUAGAUAUUGGGAAGAACACCAGUAGCGAAGGCGGCUUUCUGGACUGCAACUGACACUGAGGCACGAAAGCGUGGGUAGCAAACAGGAUUAGAUACCCGCGUAGUCCA
Molecule: ribosomal RNA, 440 nt
Filed under: uncultured bacterium
Lineage: Bacteria
Description: bacterial SSU rRNA
Rfam family: Bacterial small subunit ribosomal RNA
Source: RNAcentral